RNAcentral lists this transfer RNA (83 nucleotides) under Candidatus Dojkabacteria bacterium. RNAcentral's name for it is "tRNA-Tyr". It matches the Rfam family "tRNA". From Rfam's summary of the family: Transfer RNA (tRNA) molecules are approximately 80 nucleotides in length. The record is from RNAcentral.
GCAGAGAUGGCGGAGUGGUCAAACGCGGCGGACUGUAAAUCCGCUCCCUUCGGGGUACAUUGGUUCAAAUCCAAUUCUCUGCA